GAUGAACGCUGGCGGCGUGCCUAAUACAUGCAAGUCGAGCGAACAGAUGAGGAGCUUGCUCCUCUGACGUUAGCGGCGGACGGGUGAGUAACACGUGGAUAACCUACCUAUAAGACUGGGAUAACUUCGGGAAACCGGAGCUAAUACCGGAUAAUAUAUUGAACCGCAUGGUUCAAUAGUGAAAGACGGUUUUGCUGUCACUUAUAGAUGGGUCCGCGCCGCAUUAGCUAGUUGGUAAGGUAACGGCUUACCAAGGCAACGAUGCGUAGCCGACCUGAGAGGGUGAUCGGCCACACUGGAACUGAGACACGGUCCAGACUCCUACGGGAGGCAGCAGUAGGGAAUCUUCCGCAAUGGGCGAAAGCUUGACGGAGCAACGCCGCGUGAGUGAUGAAGGUCUUCGAAUCGUAAAACUCUGUUAUUAGGGAAGAACAAAUGUGUAAGUAACUAUGCACGUCUUGACGGUACCUAAUCAGAAAGCCACGGCUAACUACGUG
RNAcentral lists this ribosomal RNA (497 nucleotides) under uncultured bacterium. RNAcentral describes it as "partial 16S ribosomal RNA". It matches the Rfam family "Bacterial small subunit ribosomal RNA", at positions 28 to 507 of the family's 1533-position model. The record is from RNAcentral.